RNAcentral lists this long non-coding RNA (696 nucleotides) under Marmota monax (woodchuck). Lineage: Eukaryota; Metazoa; Chordata; Mammalia; Rodentia; Sciuridae. The record is from RNAcentral.
UUUAAACUGGGCAUUGAACCAAGGAACAUUUUAUCACUAAGCUACAUCCCAAAUGUGAUGGAAUAUGUGAAUAUAAACAUUCAAAAAGCUCAGUGAAAUUCAAGUAAGAUGAACUCAGAGACCCACAUUACAAUGCAUUAUAAUCAAAUUUUCAAAGUAAAAAAUAGAAUCCUGUUAGCAGCAAGAGAGGUGACUUGUUACAUAUAAGGGAUCCUUCCUCCACAAGAUUAUCAAAUUUCUCAAGAUAAAUCAAUGGUGGCCAAUAGUCAAUGAUCCAGUGCUACAUUUUAGAUCUUAAUUGUCUCUCAAAGGACAUGUGUUGAAAGUUUGGUCACUGUCCUGUAGCACUUUGGGGAGAUGAUGCAACUUUUAUGAAGUGGGGCCUAGUGGAAGGAAGUUAUGUCACUAGGGGUAUGCCCUUAGAGGAGAUAUUGGGACCCUAACCCCUUUCACUCUUUCCUUCCCAGCUGCCAUGAAGAGAACAGAGUUCCUCUGCCACAUGCUCGCUGCCAUAAUGUAUCUUUAUAUGCAGGCAAAACUGUUUUUCAAAAUUGAGGGUUAAAUUUUUUUCUUUAUCUAGGAAGAUAAAAGUCAUUACUAUUAUACCUGGCUUGCAAGAAAUGUUCAAUGGAGCCCAGCAAAGAGAAAUGAAAUAUUACAACACAGUAACUUGAAACCAUAGGAAGAGAUAAAGAU